Molecule: long non-coding RNA, 343 nt
Organism: Lepidothrix coronata (blue-crowned manakin)
Lineage: Eukaryota; Metazoa; Chordata; Aves; Passeriformes; Pipridae
Exons: 3
Source: RefSeq, a predicted model, not a curated record
AGCGGUGAGUCCCGGUGAGGGCGGGUCUUCCCGGCUCGGUUGGUUUGGCGCGGGGAUAACACGGGCAUGGCACUGCUCGACUUAGUGACCGACUCGUUGGUCUUGACAGAGGUACUUUGCAAAACAAAGUUACUGGUGAAUAUUCAGAAUCUUGAAGCCAGAGCUCAAAGAAUAAGUAAGUGGUUUCUACAAGUUGAUGUACAUAUCUGCCUUAAGGAUGUGCAGCCCAUGGACAGAAGUAGUUUACCAUGAAGGGACUUUUUACUCCAAAAAACCUAGAAUUGUACAAAGUGUGUAACAGAACUUUGAACUUCUCCUACCAGAAACUAUACCAACUGUUGUG